Molecule: ribosomal RNA, 717 nt
Filed under: uncultured Acinetobacter sp.
Lineage: Bacteria; Pseudomonadati; Pseudomonadota; Gammaproteobacteria; Moraxellales; Moraxellaceae
Description: bacterial SSU rRNA
Rfam family: Bacterial small subunit ribosomal RNA
Source: RNAcentral
AUACAAGUCGAGCGGGGAAAGGUAGCUUGCUACCUGACCUAGCGGCGGACGGGUGAGUAAUACUUAGGAAUCUGCCUAUUAGUGGGGGACAACGUUUCGAAAGGGACGCUAAUACCGCAUACGCCCUACGGGGGAAAGCAGGGGAUCACUUGUGACCUUGCGCUAAUAGAUGAGCCUAAGUCGGAUUAGCUAGUUGGUGGGGUAAAGGCCUACCAAGGCGACGAUCUGUAGCGGGUCUGAGAGGAUGAUCCGCCACACUGGGACUGAGACACGGCCCAGACUCCUACGGGAGGCAGCAGUGGGGAAUAUUGGACAAUGGGGGGAACCCUGAUCCAGCCAUGCCGCGUGUGUGAAGAAGGCCUUAUGGUUGUAAAGCACUUUAAGCGAGGAGGAGGCUCCUAUAGAUAAUACCUAUAGUGAGUGGACGUUACUCGCAGAAUAAGCACCGGCUAACUCUGUGCCAGCAGCCGCGGUAAUACAGAGGGUGCAAGCGUUAAUCGGAUUUACUGGGCGUAAAGCGUACGUAGGCGGCUAAUUAAGUCGGAUGUGAAAUCCCCGAGCUCAACUUGGGAAUUGCAUUCGAUACUGGUUAGCUAGAGUAUGGGAGAGGAUGGUAGAAUUCCAGGUGUAGCGGUGAAAUGCGUAGAGAUCUGGAGGAAUACCGAUGGCGAAGGCAGCCAUCUGGCCUAAUACUGACGCUGAGGUACGAAAGCAUGG